GACGAACUUCCAGCCCUGGAGCAUGUUUCUUCCUUUCCUGGGAUGUGGCGCUGAAAAGGGCAGAAACCUCUAGUAAGGCACAAGCAACAGAUUGGGGGUGGAGCAGCAGGUCUCUUUGGAGGUGGCCUGGAAGAAACCGGACAGAGAGGAUGGGAAGGGGAGAAACAGAAGAGUGUGACGAGAUCAUGAAGGAAAGAGGAGGCGUCUACUGAAUGUAAGGUAGAGCCAAAGGCAUCUAUUGAUGACUGAAGAAGAGGCAUGAAUAUGACAAAAACAGGAAGCAUCUGUUUCCACCAGUCACCAGCAAGCGGAGGAUCGUAUAAGGACACCCUUCAG
Molecule: long non-coding RNA, 336 nt
Filed under: Homo sapiens (human)
Lineage: Eukaryota; Metazoa; Chordata; Mammalia; Primates; Hominidae
Description: HSALNT0305205
Source: RNAcentral